GUAAGCUAGGAAUUGUCAUUUAAAUUUGUCACGACAUUUAAAUGACUUAUUUUACACAUUUGGAUUUUAUGAAAAAAUGUUUAAGAUUCCGCAAUUUUGCAAAUCGGCCAUUUCAGUGAUUUGCCCGGCAGGAUGUCAAUUUCAGUUUCAUGCGGUUUGACAAUCUCACCAAAUAUCGUUUGUCCUGCAACCAAAAUGUCAACAAAUUAUUGUCAGCACCAGGUAUGAUUGAUGUUGCCACACAUGAGUUCACUACACCUGUCAGGGAGGUUCUGAAACCUGAACAAAUGCCAGCAUGGGAAAGUUCACAGGCCUACAGAGAUCUUGUUGGGUUUAUUAUAGCCAUGAACGAAGCUGUGAAAAAUAAAAGUUUAAAUGAUGAAUGUCAUAUAUCUCAGCUCACUACAAAUCUGUUAGACAUGUUAAACACAAUAUCCUCAUGGAUAGAUGAGAUCCCGCCAGUAGAUCAACCGCAGAGGUUUGGCAACAAAGCUUUCAAGGAUGUAUACUCUAGACUACAGGAGAAAGGUGAAUCUAUAGUUAAAGCUGCAUUAGAUGAGCAGUACCAAAGGGCUGCCCCAGAAAUUUAUAUGUAUUUGGUGGAAAGUAUUGGGAAUUCUACCAGAAUAGAUUAUGGAUCAGGUCAUGAGUUAUCAUUUAUUGCAUUUUUGUGCUGCCUUUUUAAAAUUGGUGCCUACACACAAGAGGACUCGGUAGCAGCAGUUAAUAAGGUUUUUCAAAGGUAUAUAGAAGUGAUGAGGAAGAUGCAGCAGACAUAUAACAUGGAGCCUGCAGGCAGCCAUGGCGUCUGGAGCCUUGAUGAUUAUCAGUUCGUACCUUUUCUCUGGGGAAGCUCACAGUUACUAGAUCACAAAAGAAUUCACCCCAAGUCUUUCCCAAAGCCAGAAGUAUAUGAAUAUUUUGCUAAGGACUACAUGUUUUUAGGUUGUGUAAAGUUUAUAAACCAGGUAAAAACGGGUCCGUUUGCUGAGCACUCUAACCAGUUGUGGAACAUCAGUGGAGUGCCCCACUGGCAUAAAGUGAACUCUGGACUUGUGAAAAUGUACAAGGCAGAGGUACUUGCAAAGUUCCCUGUAGUGCAGCACUUCUUAUUUGGCUCCAUACUGUCCAUAAAGCCUGCGUGAUGACCACUGGGCAGUUUUAAGACCUGGACAGCUUCACAAUUGACCUCAUGGACAUUGCUAACAUACAAUGUGAACAAAUGCUUUUAAAUGAGUUCUAACAGUUACACGGAUGAGAUUUUUCUGACUGUCCAUGGAUUUCUGGCCUAUUUGGGAGCCAAAAAUAUCAUUGGCCUAGGUAACCCCCUGGAACCCAGGCCAUAUUUUAUGACUUUUCAAUAAAUAGCAGUCUCACCUCUGUGGUUCCAGUACGAGCACAAGCCACUGAACAGAGGAAUUAUUAGAUCUGAAUGUUACAUACAUACACAUUCAGUGUUUAUUGAUAGUGCUACAGCUUGAGAUCUCUGCUUGGGAUGAUGUAUCAGCUUGAGGGCCUUGCUUUGGAUUCUAAGUUGACUGUUAAUAAGGUUAAAUGGAAAUUUAUUUUGAAAUCCUAACCCUUGCAUUCAUCUACAGGGCCAUAAAAUGAGACACCAAAGCCGUGGAAAAUAUUAAGACGUUUCAUCAAUAGAUGGCAUACAUGCAGUGUUCUUACAUCAGUGAAGAAGGCAGAUUGUUGAAGCACUAAGAAUGUGAGCUCACAGCUUCAAAAACUGGGAACUCUGGAUUAGCAUUUUGAGAGGAAUCUACAAAAUAAAACAGUAUUUAUUAUAAACAAUCA
This 1803-nucleotide unclassified non-coding RNA is filed under the name Lingula anatina. RNAcentral's name for it is "serine/threonine-protein phosphatase 2A activator- like, transcript variant X1". The record is from RNAcentral. Lineage: Eukaryota; Metazoa; Brachiopoda; Lingulata; Lingulida; Lingulidae.